AACGAAUUUGAUUAAGUUUAGUGGCGGACGGGUGAGUAACGCGUGAGUAACCUGCCUCUAAGAGGGGAAUAACAUUCUGAAAAGAAUGCUAAUACCGCAUAAUAUAUAUUUAUCGCAUGGUAGAUAUAUCAAAGAUUUAUCGCUUAGAGAUGGACUCGCGUCCGAUUAGUUAGUUGGUGAGGUAACGGCUCACCAAGACCGCGAUCGGUAGCCGGACUGAGAGGUUGAACGGCCACAUUGGGACUGAGACACGGCCCAGACUCCUACGGGAGGCAGCAGUGGGGGAUAUUGCGCAAUGGGGGAAACCCUGACGCAGCAACGCCGCGUGAAGGAUGAAGGUCUUCGGAUUGUAAACUUCUUUUAUUAAGGACGAAGAAAGUGACGGUACUUAAUGAAUAAGCUCCGGCUAACUACGUGCCAGCAGCCGCGGUAAUACGUAGGGAGCAAGCGUUGUCCGGAUUUACUGGGUGUAAAGGGUGCGUAGGCGGCUUUGCAAGUCAGAUGUGAAAUCUAUGGGCUCAACCCAUAGCCUGCAUUUGAAACCGCAGAGCUUGAGUGAAGUAGAGGCAGGCGGAAUUCCCCGUGUAGCGGUGAAAUGCGUAGAGAUGGGGAGGAACACCAGUGGCGAAGGCGGCC
Molecule: ribosomal RNA, 636 nt
Filed under: uncultured Lachnospiraceae bacterium
Lineage: Bacteria; Bacillati; Bacillota; Clostridia; Lachnospirales; Lachnospiraceae
Description: bacterial SSU rRNA
Rfam family: Bacterial small subunit ribosomal RNA
Source: RNAcentral